ACUUGAAACUCAAAGGACUUGACGGUGUCCCAUACCGACCUAGAGGAGCCUGUCCUAUAAUCGAUACUCCCCGCUCCACCCAACCCCAACUAGCAUUCCUCAGCCUAUAUACCGCCGUCGAUCAGCCUACCCUAUGAAAGUCCAAUAGUAGACACAAUAGCCCUAUCGCUAAUACGUCAGGUCAAGGUGUAGCAAAUGUUGUGGAAGAGAUUGGCUACAUUUUUUAUUAUAAAAAAUACGAAAAAUACUAUGAAACAGUAUAUGAAGGUGAAUUUAGUAGUAAAAUAAACA
Molecule: ribosomal RNA, 291 nt
Filed under: Darevskia unisexualis
Lineage: Eukaryota; Metazoa; Chordata; Lepidosauria; Squamata; Lacertidae
Description: partial 12S ribosomal RNA
Source: RNAcentral